Molecule: long non-coding RNA, 588 nt
Filed under: Phoenix dactylifera (date palm)
Lineage: Eukaryota; Viridiplantae; Streptophyta; Magnoliopsida; Arecales; Arecaceae
Description: long non-coding RNA (PDAC_LNC020481)
Source: RNAcentral
UGGAUGGGUUUGAGUCUAGCCCUAGACUCGAUGAAUCACUCGAGGUAAUCGAGUCGGGAAACCAAUCAACUCCUGAACCUCGGAUGAUUAAUAGUUCUCCCUUUUUUUCAUGUAGUUCAAUUCUUCUUUUGAAAGAAAGAAGGGUCGUAAAUAGUAAUGUAAGGAUAGGCUAUAAGGUUUCAGGAUAUGAUAACGGAUUUUAGCUAGUUUAUCAUUUAUUAGUGUUUGUUGCUCGUGACCUUCCAUCACUAUAGUUUGCUUUAUUUUUUAGCUGUAUAUCUGACUAAUGAGUGAAUUUAAAUAAGUUGGUGGGUGGUUGUGAGUUCAGAUAUUAUAAAUAUGUUGGUUAUAUAUUUACUUUUUUAAACUCGAUUAUAAAUGGGUGUGAUAUGGUUUGAGAAGUAUUUUUCGGUCUGUUAUAAAUCCAACUUGAUUCGACCCAAUCACCACCCCUAAGUAGAUAUAUUUAUUGGAGGGGGUAAAGACAUACAUAUUGAAUAGGAAAGUGAUGAAGGUGAAGUUUGAGAUGGCAAUCGAGAAGUUGGAGUUGGUCAGGAUCCUGCUGAGGGGCCCCCUUAGUGUUCAAGA